GCCAAUAAGACGAGAAGAUAAAAGUCCAAGCUGGCUUCAGUAGUUUCGUACGGUCAGGGAGAGAGGCUGCAAUGAAGAGCGUUACACUAACGGGUUCACGGAAGAAAUGGAACUGAUGGUCACACAGAUUUAUGGAGGCAGACAUCCAAACCUAGAUUGGACCUCCAGGAGAGAUGAGUGUGGCCACUGGGAUGUGCACAUUUAUGGACUUAAAGGUGCCCCAACCAACCUUCUUAUCAAGCCUCUCUUCCACCGCUACCACCUCUUAGCGAGCCUCUGGUGGGACGGGUUCAUCCUCUGGCUCUGUCUGUGCUGAGACUUAAUUAUGAUAUGCCACAGCAACGUCAGCCCCAAGUAUUGGCUGAGAUGGAGUCAACUUUAGCAGCAGUGAUGCAGCAUCAUAAUGCACAGUACGUAAGUCUUGUUUGUAUGUGUAUGUACUUGUAACAGUAUAUUGUUCAUAUGUUGCGUUUGUUCCUAGAAAGUCUGUCAUUUACCAGUUUGAAACGGCACUGGGUUCAUUCCAUUAACUGGCUUUGGACAACGUGAUGUCAUAUGCUUUUAUUGCCAGAUCUAACCUAAGCCAUGCACAUGUUGGAUUAUUUGUUGCACAUGCAGCCCAUGUCCAGUCAGUCUGUGAAGAUGUCCUGGUCAGUUCUUUACAGGUCUGUGUGGUAGUUGGUUGUUUAGGCUAUAGACUAGUUCACAUUUGUGUCACGGUGGACAUGAAUGAGUGAGGUGCCAAAAGACUCAACGCUGAUAAUAUUUCAUCUUCUAUAUUUGCAUAAAUCAAAUUUAAACCUUGUUUUCUCACCCAAUGGUUGGUGUCAGCACAACAGAGCUAAGAUUUGACAUUUACUUGGUUUAUUCUAGUUCAUUAACUCUGAAAACAUUUAAAAAUCACACUCCUGCUGUGGACCCGUUUUUUUGUGGGCAGUACCAAGAUCAUAAGGCGCAUAAACCAACCUCGUGUCAAGCCAACACCUCCGUCUCCUGCAGAGGAGCUCCGCAAUGGGGAAAUCCACAGGUCAGCAAGAAAUUAAAAAGUUGGUGGAGGAAGAGGAAGAGGAGGAUGAUGGUGACCAUGAGGAGGACAAGACCAGAGAUUUUGAAGAAAAGGACAGUGACUCAUCCUCAGAAGAUAUGUAUAAGUGAAAACAGAAGCAAGUUAAUCACAAUAGGGAAGUAACAAAAAAUACAUAAUAAUAACAAUUAAAAAAUACAAUACAAGGCUCCUUUAUACACUCUCUCUUAGUUUUUCUGAGAGGAGGUUCUGUAUCAUUCAUCACAUGCUAAACUAUUCUUUAAAGAUGAGGUGACAAAGAAAUUUUGUGCUAUCAACUGUCUGUGUUUAGCUCUUUCACUUAGAAUCCAGUGAAAUCUCGCCUUCCUAAGUCUUCCAUUUCUUCUUUGUGGAGUUCCCUAAAGUUGGUGCAGCCUUCAUGGAGCUCCUACCUGCCCCCCACAGAGUCACACCUACAGGACAUACAAUGGGUAUUGUGAGCCGCCUAGACCACCUGGGGCCGUCGGCAGGGGAUGGGCCUUUUACCCUGAACGAUCGUCUUCCUGGAAUAAAGGGAACGUGAUUGGGAGCUGGUGAUUGGGC
This is a long non-coding RNA of Betta splendens (Siamese fighting fish), 1606 nucleotides long. Lineage: Eukaryota; Metazoa; Chordata; Actinopteri; Anabantiformes; Osphronemidae. The record is from Ensembl.